This 326-nucleotide long non-coding RNA is filed under the name Ananas comosus (pineapple). Its description in RNAcentral is "long non-coding RNA (ACOM_LNC044157)". Lineage: Eukaryota; Viridiplantae; Streptophyta; Magnoliopsida; Poales; Bromeliaceae. The record is from RNAcentral.
AGAAUCACAAGUAACAUACAAGUGAAAUAAAGAGAGAUACAUCUAGCUAUUACAUUCAUUCAACCUCAUUUUUCAUAUUGAUUUACAUUUUCAUCUUCCCAAAUGAAUACAUAUUAUUCUCAUAAUACAAAAUGUCUUUCCAAAUACAUAAGUAACUUCCAAAUACAUUUACAUCUCUAUGUACACGAGGGUACUCUAAUGCAUAAGGAAAGCUACUAGCUACUAGGGCGCUGUGCCCUUACCACGGUCCUCUGCCGGUACGCUCUCGUGUGUACCUGUACCCCAAAACCACACGGGGUGAGAACUAUAUAAAUAUAGUUCCCAGU